GAUUUUGAUUCUUUUAUGUGGCAUAAAAGAAUCAAAAUCGAGUUGGAAUCUACCAAUUUGAUUUUGAUUCUUUUAUGCCCAUAAUAAAAUCAACGGUC
RNAcentral lists this microRNA precursor (98 nucleotides) under Populus trichocarpa (black cottonwood). RNAcentral describes it as "miR6431 stem-loop (ptc-MIR6431)". The record is from miRBase by way of RNAcentral. Lineage: Eukaryota; Viridiplantae; Streptophyta; Magnoliopsida; Malpighiales; Salicaceae.